AGGAGGAAGGAUGCAGAGUAAAAGGAAAUGUAAAAGUGUUGUACACCAGCUCUCAGUAACCUUAGAAGAUUUAUAUGAUGCUGCAACAAGAAAACAGGCUCUGCAAAAUAAUGUGCUUUGUGACAGGUGUGAAGACAGAGGUGGGGAAAAAAAAAAGGAACAGUACAGUGCUGUCAUAAUUGCCAAGGUAUUGGAAUGCAAAUAAGAAUUCAUCAGAUAGAACCCGGAAUAGCUCAGCAAAUUCAAGCUGUGUGCAUGGAGACCCAGGGCCAUGGGGAACAGAUCAGUCCUCAAGAUAGAUGUAAAAGCUGCAACAGAAAGAAGAUAGUUUUGGGAGAAGACGAUUCUAGAAAUUCAUAUUGACAAAAGCAUGAAAGAUGGCCAGAAAAUAACAUCUCAUGAUGAAAGAGACCAAAAACCAGGACUGGAGCCAGGAGAUAUUAUCAUUGCAUUAGAUCAGAAGGACCAUGCUGUUUUUACUUGACAAAGAAAAGACCUUUUCAUAUGUAUGGAUAUACAGCUGGUUGUAGUAUUGCAUGGCUUCUGAAAACCAAUAUCCACUCUUGACAACUGAACCAUAGUCAUCAUCUCUCAUCCAGGUCAAACUGUCAAGCAUGGAGCCAUCAAGCAUGUGUUAAAUGAAGGCAGGCCAAUUUAUUGUAGACCACAUGAAGAGUCACUUAAUCAUUGAAUUUAAGGUAAACUUUCUUGAUAAUGGCUUUCCCUUUUUUGACAAACUCCUUGCUGGAAAAACUCCUACAAAAGAGUAAAGAAGUAGAAGAGACUGAUGAGAUGAAUCAAGUAGAAUUUGUGGACUUUGAUUCAAAUCAGGAAAGAUGAUGCUGAUGCCACUACAGUGCAGAAGCAAAUGUGGGACCAUUACAAUGGAAAAGCAUGAGGAUGAUAAACAUCAUUUCAGAGGUGUUCAGUGUCAAACAUCUUA
This 943-nucleotide long non-coding RNA is filed under the name Homo sapiens (human). Its description in RNAcentral is "non-protein coding lnc-S1PR1-13:2". Lineage: Eukaryota; Metazoa; Chordata; Mammalia; Primates; Hominidae. The record is from RNAcentral.